Molecule: ribosomal RNA, 907 nt
Filed under: uncultured archaeon
Lineage: Archaea
Description: bacterial SSU rRNA
Rfam family: Archaeal small subunit ribosomal RNA
Source: RNAcentral
GUCGAUUCUGCCGGACCCGACUGCUAUCAGAGUGGGACUAAGCCAUGCGAGUCAACAUAGCAAUAUGUGGCAUACGGCUCAGUAACACGUAGUCAACAUGCCCAGGGGACGUGGAUAACCUCGGGAAACUGAGGAUAAACCGCGAUAAGUCACUACUUCUGGAAUGGGUAAUGACUUAAAUCUAUAUGGCCCCUGGAUUGGACUGCGGCCGAUCAGGCUGUUGGUGAGGUAAUGGCCCACCAAACCUGUAACCGGUACGGGCUCUGAGAGGAGGAGCCCGGAGAUGGGCACUGAGACAAGGGCCCAGGCCCUAUGGGGCGCAGCAGGCGCGAAACCUCUGCAAUAGGCGAAAGCCUGACAGGGUUACUCUGAGUGAUUUCCGUUAAGGAGAUCUUUUGGCACCUCUAAAAAUGGUGCAGAAUAAGGGGUGGGCAAGUCUGGUGUCAGCCGCCGCGGUAAUACCAGCACCCCGAGUGGUCGGGACGUUUAUUGGGCCUAAAGCAUCCGUAGCCGGUUCUGCAAGUCUUCCGUUAAAUCCACCUGCUUAACAGAUGGGCCGCGGAAGAUACUAUAGAGCUAGGAGGCGGGAGAGGCAAGCGGUACUCGAUGGGUAGGGGUAAAAUCCGUUGAUCCAUUGAAGACCACCAGUGGCGAAGGCGGCUUGCCAGAAUGCGCUCGACGGUGAGGGAUGAAAGCUGGGGGAGCAAACCGGAUUAGAUACCCGGGUAGUCCCAGCCGUAAACGAUGCAGACUCGGUGAUGGGUUGGCUUCGUGCUAACCCAGUGCCGCAGGGAAGCCGUUAAGUCUGCCGCCUGGGUAGUACGGUCGCAAGACUGAAACUUAAAGGAAUUGGCGGGGGAGCACCACAAGGGGUGAAGCCUGCGGUUCAAUUGGAGUCAACGCCGGA